RNAcentral lists this ribosomal RNA (429 nucleotides) under Chloroflexota bacterium. RNAcentral's name for it is "Chloroflexi bacterium partial 16S ribosomal RNA". It matches the Rfam family "Bacterial small subunit ribosomal RNA", at positions 355 to 776 of the family's 1533-position model. The record is from RNAcentral. Lineage: Bacteria; Bacillati; Chloroflexota.
UGGGGAAUAUUGCACAAUGGGCGCAAGCCUGAUGCAGCCAUGCCGCGUGUAUGAAGAAGGCCUUCGGGUUGUAAAGUACUUUCAGCGGGGAGGAAGGGAGUAAAGUUAAUACCUUUGCUCAUUGACGUUACCCGCAGAAGAAGCACCGGCUAACUCCGUGCCAGCAGCCGCGGUAAUACGGAGGGUGCAAGCGUUAAUCGGAAUUACUGGGCGUAAAGCGCACGCAGGCGGUUUGUUAAGUCAGAUGUGAAAUCCCCGGGCUCAACCUGGGAACUGCAUCUGAUACUGGCAAGCUUGAGUCUCGUAGAGGGGGGUAGAAUUCCAGGUGUAGCGGUGAAAUGCGUAGAGAUCUGGAGAAAUACCGGUGGCGAAGGCGGCCCCCUGGACGAAGACUGACGCACAGGUGCGAAAGCGUGGGGAGCAAACGGG